This 228-nucleotide unclassified non-coding RNA is filed under the name Hevea brasiliensis (rubber tree). The record is from RNAcentral. Lineage: Eukaryota; Viridiplantae; Streptophyta; Magnoliopsida; Malpighiales; Euphorbiaceae.
ACGUGAUGAUUUUCGAUUCCUUUGCAGCUUGCCAUCGUCUGAAGGCUUUAGUUGUGGAUAGCCACCACGAUGGCAUGUAAAAUCCCUUCUUGUAAUGCCCCUACCAACUCCAUCCUUCCCCCGAGUACGAUGACGUCUAAUUGAGAAGCCGCAUUGCUUUCCAAAGCUACAGUAAAAUUCAUAUGCAGCGUCCUGUGAUACAAACCUCUGACCAAUGAAAGGAAUAAG